Pan troglodytes (chimpanzee) is the source of this 46-nucleotide non-coding RNA. The record is from Rfam. Lineage: Eukaryota; Metazoa; Chordata; Mammalia; Primates; Hominidae.
UCCUUGGCUUUUCUAGAAGCCACAUACAUUUCUUGAUUCUUGGCCU